This 95-nucleotide small nucleolar RNA is filed under the name Aspergillus wentii DTO 134E9. RNAcentral's name for it is "A. fumigatus snoRNA Afu_263". It matches the Rfam family "A. fumigatus snoRNA Afu_263". The record is from Rfam by way of RNAcentral. Lineage: Eukaryota; Fungi; Ascomycota; Eurotiomycetes; Eurotiales; Aspergillaceae.
UUCAAUGAUGAUCACCAUAUUCAAUGCAUAGUUCAACUGAAGAUCUUCGGAUUGCUGAACGACAACCAUAUACCAUCUUUCACCUUUGUCUGAAA